This 170-nucleotide ribosomal RNA is filed under the name Dumasia forrestii. RNAcentral's name for it is "5.8S ribosomal RNA". It matches the Rfam family "5.8S ribosomal RNA". From Rfam's summary of the family: 5.8S ribosomal RNA (5.8S rRNA) is a component of the large subunit of the eukaryotic ribosome. It is transcribed by RNA polymerase I as part of the 45S precursor that also contains 18S and 28S rRNA. Functionally, it is thought that 5.8S rRNA may be involved in ribosome translocation. The record is from RNAcentral. Lineage: Eukaryota; Viridiplantae; Streptophyta; Magnoliopsida; Fabales; Fabaceae.
UCAUACAAAAUGACUCUCGGCAACGGAUAUCUCGGCUCUUGCAUCGAUGAAGAACGUAGCGAAAUGCGAUACUUGGUGUGAAUUGCAGAAUCCCGUGAACCAUCGAGUCUUUGAACGCAAGUUGCGCCUGAAGCCAUUAGGCUGAGGGCACGCCUGCCUGGGUGUCACAC